RNAcentral lists this ribosomal RNA (571 nucleotides) under uncultured Glomeromycotina. Its description in RNAcentral is "SSU rRNA". It matches the Rfam family "Eukaryotic small subunit ribosomal RNA", at positions 548 to 1114 of the family's 1831-position model. Lineage: Eukaryota; Fungi; Glomeromycota. The record is from RNAcentral.
UUGGAGGGCAAGUCUGGUGCCAGCAGCCGCGGUAAUUCCAGCUCCAAUAGCGUAUAUUAAAGUUGUCGCAGUUAAAAAGCUCGUAGUUGAAUUUCGGGAUUGACACAUCGGUCGUGCCUUAAGGGGUAUGAACUGGCGUAGUCAAUUUCUCACCUUCUGGAGAACCGCGAUGUCCUUAAUUGGGUGCCGCGAGGAACCAGGACCUUUACUUUGAAAAAAUUAGAGUGUUUAAAGCAGGCAUUUUGCUUGAAUACAUUAGCAUGGAAUAAUAAAAUAGGACGGCAUGAUUCUAUUUUGUUGGUUUCUAGGUUCACCGUAAUGAUUAAUAGGGAUAGUUGGGGGCAUUAGUAUUCAAUUGUCAGAGGUGAAGUUCUUGGAUUUAUUGAAGACUAACUACUGCGAAAGCAUUUGCCAAGGAUGCUUUCAUUAAUCAAGGACGAAAGUUAGGGGAUCGAAGACGAUCAGAUACCGUCGUAGUCUUAACCAUAAACUAUGCCGACUAGGAAUCAGACGAUGUUAAUUUUUUAGUGACUCGUUUGGCACCUUACGGGAAACCAAAGUGUUUGGGUUC